Molecule: ribosomal RNA, 550 nt
Filed under: uncultured Caulobacter sp.
Lineage: Bacteria; Pseudomonadati; Pseudomonadota; Alphaproteobacteria; Caulobacterales; Caulobacteraceae
Description: bacterial SSU rRNA
Rfam family: Bacterial small subunit ribosomal RNA
Source: RNAcentral
AACGGAUCUUCGGGAUCCGUGGCGGUAGGGUGAGUAACACGUGGGAACGUGCCCUUUGGUUCGGAACAACUCAGUGAAAACUUGAGCUAAUACCGGAUGUGCCCUUCGGGGGAAAGAUUUAUCGCCAUUGGAGCGGCCCGCGUCUGAUUAGCUAGUUGGUGGGGUAAAGGCCCACCAAGGCGACGAUCAGUAGCUGGUCUGAGAGGAUGAUCAGCCACAUUGGGACUGAGACACGGCCCAAACUCCUACGGGAGGCAGCAGUGGGGAAUCUUGCGCAAUGGGCGAAAGCCUGACGCAGCCAUGCCGCGUGAAUGAUGAAGGUCUUAGGAUUGUAAAAUUCUUUCACCGGGGACGAUAAUGACGGUACCCGGAGAAGAAGCCCCGGCUAACUUCGUGCCAGCAGCCGCGGUAAUACGAAGGGGGCUAGCGUAGCUCGGAAUUACUGGGCGUAAAGGGAGCGUAGGCGGACUGUUAAGUUAGAGGUGAAAGCCCAGUGCUCAACCUUGGAAUUGCCUUUGAUACUGGCAGUCUUGAGUACGGAAGAGGUAUG